CCUACGGGAGGCUGCAGUGGGGAAUAUUGGACAAUGGGGGGAACCCUGAUCCAGCCAUGCCGCGUGUGUGAAGAAGGCCCUCGGGUUGUAAAGCACUUUCAGUGAGGAAGAACGCCUGGUGGUGAAUACCCAUCAGGAAAGACAUCACUCACAGAAGAAGCACCGGCUAACUCCGUGCCAGCAGCCGCGGUAAUACGGAGGGUGCGAGCGUUAAUCGGAAUUACUGGGCGUAAAGCGCGCGUAGGUGGCUUGAUAAGCCGGUUGUGAAAGCCCCGGGCUCAACCUGGGAACGGCAUCCGGAACUGUCAAGCUAGAGUGCAUGAGAGGAAGGUAGAAUUCCCGGUGUAGCGGUGAAAUGCGUAGAGAUCGGGAGGAAUACCAGUGGCGAAGGCGGCCUUCUGGACUGACACUGACACUGAGGUGCGAAAGCGUGGGUAGCAAACAGGAUUAGAUACCCGGGUAGUC
Molecule: ribosomal RNA, 465 nt
Filed under: Vreelandella stevensii
Lineage: Bacteria; Pseudomonadati; Pseudomonadota; Gammaproteobacteria; Oceanospirillales; Halomonadaceae
Description: partial 16S ribosomal RNA
Rfam family: Bacterial small subunit ribosomal RNA
Source: RNAcentral